Molecule: long non-coding RNA, 726 nt
Organism: Sinocyclocheilus grahami
Lineage: Eukaryota; Metazoa; Chordata; Actinopteri; Cypriniformes; Cyprinidae
Exons: 6
Source: RefSeq, a predicted model, not a curated record
GCGUGUGUGGAUGUGAGCACUCUUUUCUCUCCUAUUAUUUGAGUGGCUGCAGGUACUGGUGUCUGCCUCUUUGCCUCUGUGCUAGAGGGAUAAAGAGGGAAAGACAGAGGACUAGUGCUUCAUAUCCCCCCUCUGGCCUCCCCAUCUCCCUGCUCCCUGUCACUCCAUCCUUCCUUCCUCCCUCCCGGACCACCCGUCAGCGGCUGGAUCAACCUGCCCGGACCUUCCUCCCACAACCCCUUUGACUAUCCUCACUUCACCGUCCCAUCUUGUGAACUGAGUGCAGGAAUUUCUGGUUACUGGGAGCUGAAGACUGGAUUUGGCAGUGCAGUCACAGACAAUCUUGGUCUGAAAGAGCAGAACCUUUAAAUACAAAUUUAAAAGUAAACCUCCUGUACAGAGAAACAGUAAGGAGUUGCUCAGGGUGAGGUACACUGGACAGACGGAACUCUCCCGAGUCUUCUGGAAGUGUGGCAGCACGUGGUCACAUGACCUGGAAGAGAAAACCCAAGAGACUUCUGGGAUCCCUCUCUGAAUGGGCCGGUUAUCAACCUGGAAAGAAGUCUAAAGGCUGAUGAACUGAUCCGCACAGCGACACAGCUGCGCUCUCUUUCCCUCUUCGUCUGGCCAAUCUCUUCAUUUAUGUCCUGAGAUCCACAACUUUCUGCAACUCUGGUGACUGGUUGGCUGCUGUACCAUCAUUCUCGUCCUACUCCUGGGGAUUUC